Molecule: transfer RNA, 73 nt
Filed under: archaeon
Lineage: Archaea
Description: tRNA-Arg
Rfam family: tRNA
About the family: Transfer RNA (tRNA) molecules are approximately 80 nucleotides in length. Their secondary structure includes four short double-helical elements and three loops (D, anti-codon, and T loops).
Source: RNAcentral
GGGCCCGUAGCAUAACGGACUGUGCGCUUCGCUUCGGACGAAGUGGUUGGGGGUUCGAGUCCCUCCGGGCCCG